GCUGGCGGCGUGCCUAACACAUGCAAGUCGAACGAGAAAGUGGAGCAAUCCAUGAGUAAAGUGGCGACCGGGUGAGUAACACGUGACUAACCUACCUCCGAGUGGGGAAUAACUCCGGGAAACCGGGGCUAAUACCGCAUAACACCGCAAGGUCAAAGCAGCAAUGCGCUUGGAGAGGGGGUCGCGGCUGAUUAGCUAGUUGGUAGGGUAACGGCCUACCAAGGCGAAGAUCGGUAUCCGGCCUGAGAGGGCGCACGGACACACUGGAACUGAAACACGGUCCAGACUCCUACGGGAGGCAGCAGUGGGGAAUUUUGCGCAAUGGGGGAAACCCUGACGCGGCAACGCCGCGUGGAGGAUGAAGCCCUUUGGGGCGUAAACUCCUUUCGACUCGGACGAUAAUGACGGUACGAGUGGAAGAAGCACCGGCUAACUCUGUGCCAGCAGCCGCGGUAAUACAGAGGGUGCGAGCGUUGUUCGGAAUUAUUGGGCGUAAAGGGCGCGUANGCGGUGCGGUAAGUCACCUGUGAAAUCUCCCGGCUUAACUGGGAGCCUGCAGGCGAAACUACCGUGCUGGAGUGUGGGAGAGGUGCGUGGAAUUCCCG
RNAcentral lists this ribosomal RNA (605 nucleotides) under uncultured bacterium. Its description in RNAcentral is "bacterial SSU rRNA". It matches the Rfam family "Bacterial small subunit ribosomal RNA", at positions 35 to 672 of the family's 1533-position model. The record is from RNAcentral.